This 445-nucleotide ribosomal RNA is filed under the name uncultured bacterium. Its description in RNAcentral is "bacterial SSU rRNA". It matches the Rfam family "Bacterial small subunit ribosomal RNA", at positions 354 to 796 of the family's 1533-position model. The record is from RNAcentral.
GUGAGGAAUAUUGCGCAAUGGAGGCAACUCUGACGCAGCCAUGCCGCGUGCAGGAAGAAGGCGCUACGCGUUGUAAACUGCUUUUAACCGGGAAGAAACCCCAGGACGUGUCCUGGGUUGACGGUACCGGAGGAAUAAGCACCGGCUAACUUCGUGCCAGCAGCCGCGGUAAUACGAAGGGUGCAAGCGUUAUCCGGAUUCAUUGGGUUUAAAGGGUGCGUAGGCGGAGCGUUAAGUCAGUGGUGAAAUCCUGCAGCUUAACUGUAGACUUGCCAUUGAUACUGGCGCGCUUGAGUGCGCUUGAAGUGGGCGGAAUGUGCCGUGUAGCGGUGAAAUGCUUAGAUAUGGCACAGAACACCAAUUGCGAAGGCAGCUCACUAAGGCGAUACUGACGCUGAGGCACGAAAGCGUGGGGAUCGAACAGGAUUAGAAACCCUUGUAGUCC